This 253-nucleotide ribosomal RNA is filed under the name uncultured bacterium. Its description in RNAcentral is "partial 16S ribosomal RNA". It matches the Rfam family "Bacterial small subunit ribosomal RNA", at positions 524 to 776 of the family's 1533-position model. The record is from RNAcentral.
UACGGAGGGUGCAAGCGUUAAUCGGAAUUACUGGGCGUAAAGCGCGCGUAGGCGGUCAUUUAAGCUAGAUGUGAAAUCCCCGGGCUUAACCUGGGAAUUGCAUUUAGAACUGGAUGGCUAGAGUAUGGGAGAGGAGUGUGGAAUUUCAGGUGUAGCGGUGAAAUGCGUAGAGAUCUGAAGGAACAUCAGUGGCGAAGGCGACACUCUGGCCCAAUACUGACGCUGAGGUGCGAAAGCGUGGGGAGCAAACAGG